UGGGGAAUUUUGGACAAUGGGCGAAAGCCUGAUCCAGCAAUGCCGCGUGUGUGAAGAAGGCCUUCGGGUUGUAAAGCACUUUUGUCAGGAACGAAAUCCCUUGGGCUAAUACCUCGGGGGAUGACGGUACCUGAAGAAUAAGCACCGGCUAACUACGUGCCAGCAGCCGCGGUAAUACGUAGGGUGCGAGCGUUAAUCGGAAUUACUGGGCGUAAAGCGUGCGCAGGCGGUUUCGUAAGACGGAUGUGAAAUCCCCGGGCUUAACCUGGGAACUGCAUUCGUGACUGCGAGACUAGAGUGUGUCAGAGGGAGGUGGAAUUCCGCGUGUAGCAGUGAAAUGCGUAGAGAUGCGGAGGAACACCGAUGGCGAAGGCAGCCUCCUGGGAUAACACUGACGCUCAUGCACGAAAGCGUGGGGAGCAAACAGGAUUAGAUACCCUGGUAGUCCACGCCCUAAACGAUGUCUACUAGUUGUCGGUCCUUCAAUGGAUCGGUAACGCAGCUAACGCGUGAAGUAGACCGCCUGGGGAGUACGGUCGCAAGAUUAGAACUCAAAAGGAAUUGACGGGGUCAUAGCU
RNAcentral lists this ribosomal RNA (578 nucleotides) under uncultured bacterium. RNAcentral describes it as "partial 16S ribosomal RNA". It matches the Rfam family "Bacterial small subunit ribosomal RNA", at positions 355 to 926 of the family's 1533-position model. The record is from RNAcentral.